Molecule: long non-coding RNA, 387 nt
Organism: Gasterosteus aculeatus aculeatus (three-spined stickleback)
Lineage: Eukaryota; Metazoa; Chordata; Actinopteri; Perciformes; Gasterosteidae
Source: Ensembl
UGCAGCUUCGUGCGGCAGCGUUUGGCCGACACAUCCUGAGCCUCGCAUGAGGGCGUUCAGACGAAGACAUGGAGAGCACGACUUUAAACCCAGUCCGUCGUGGCUGCACCGAGCAAAGGGAGCCUCCAUCUUACCUUUCACGCUUCGGCCAAGUCGACAUCGUAACCGUUGCACUCGGCAAUCUUCCAUCUGCACAGAGAUGCUUUCAAGAGGUUCCGUAGCCACUCGGGCAACACUUCACGAUAAAUAUCUCUCUCUCAGAAGAGAAAGGACGGGAGCCAUGUGGUUGAGUGCCUCGACAGCUACUUCCAGAAAAGACUACGGCCGUUGUUCCUUAUUGGAAAAACAAGGAAAACAUUCAAUGCCGUUUUGACCUCUACAUGGGUG